ACUUGCUGUCUUUAGAGGGCUUGGCAGCUUUGAGGAGCACCUCAAAAAGAAAAAUACGACUUUCACAUGAAUUGCUGAAGAGGGCCUUAUUCCUUCCACGUGUACCACUCAGAGUUUUACCUGGUUGUCUGCAGGAUUAAGUGCUGGCUCUUGGGAUCCCAGUGUUCCUGGGCAGGUGCUGCAGCACAAUGAGUUGGGAUGGGUAUCUUUUCAAACUGCGACAGCUGAUUAUGCUGAUGCUUCUGACAAGCACUGGGGCUCCUGGGCUGACACCCAGGGAAGCAUGGGGAAGCAGGCUCACGGUUUGCAUCAACAGGACCCAGUUUAGUAGGAUGGCACUUGGAGACUGCUGUGAUUCCCAGAUGGCAGGGCAGACACUGUGGGCUGUUUGUCCAUCACCAGAUUCAGAACUGCUGCUGCCUCUCUGCUGUUGAGGUUCCACUGCCCUGUGGGCAGGGGGUGGAAUGCCAGCAGGAAUAUUCCAACCUGUUCCAGCCCCACUGUGGGAUGGCCAAGAGGAGCACGUGGAAACAAACAUUCUCCUUUCCAGAUCACACCAAAAUUUCUGUGGAUACUUCCAUGACCUGUCCCUGCUGGUUUGAUUAAAGAUGUAAUUCAAGUUCCCCACUGCACUGUAGGCUUCCCUUGACUUCGGAACCAAAAUCAGUUUUCAUGUGGCCUAGAAAUCAGGGGAAGGAUCAGAAGGUGACAUACCCUCUGAAAUAUCUGGAAUACACUGUCUGUUAUGUUGCCAAAUUUUCACUUUGGUUCAGAAAUAACUAAAAAUACCAUCACAUAGAAAGGAAGUCCCAGCUCAUGGAAUACUAAAUAUCUUUCACUGGAGAUUUUCAAGAACCCUCAGGAAUCAAUCUUGUGCCAUGUGCUCUAGGAAGACCCUGACUGAGAAAAGAGAUUGGACCAGAUCCCCCCACUGUGGUCUCUUCCAACCUGACAAAUUCUGUGACUGUUGAAUGCUGGGAUUUCUUGACCAGUCUCUGUUUCUAUUAAUUCUUAUUAAAUGUGAAGGCAAGAGUUUCAUAAUUGUGCAAAUAAACUAGAUAUGGUGUAGAAAACA
This 1075-nucleotide long non-coding RNA is filed under the name Zonotrichia albicollis (white-throated sparrow). RNAcentral describes it as "lncRNA (ENSZALG00000007905.1)". Lineage: Eukaryota; Metazoa; Chordata; Aves; Passeriformes; Passerellidae. The record is from RNAcentral.